UUUAGGUCAGUGCCGGCAUGACUUCAGAUCACUCGUUUCUGUAACUAUAGGCUGUUUACAGUGGGUUUCAUUUGAUGGCAUUGCAAAGCGUAGUAUACGGUGACCUGUUCAUAAGCAGUCAGAGGGGAGCAGGGUAAGGUAGUAUUUCCACUGAGCUGAAUGGAUUUCAGUGUGGAUCUGUUUUCACUUCAGUAAAUACAUCAUCAAAGCCCACAAGCAUGAAUACCAUCUGCUUAUUUCGUAAAUGAUCUCAUGAGUCCAUAUUAUUGUUGUUUAUUAUGCAUUUAAAUAACAACAGUGCCCAAUGGGGUUUAUAAGAUGCUAGAUACCUGGUAGACCCAUGGCACAGACACAGCAUCUAUCCCAAGGAGCUUGCGGUUCACAGGCUACAGAAUACAGGUGACUAAAAUGGAGGGACACUGGUAGAGGACUGGAACACCUGAUUUACAAGUCAGCAUGAAAAAUAUGAUCACAACAAACCAGAUUUUUAACCAUUGCUUUUUUUACUUCAGAGAAGAAUUUGAAGAUGGGAUCUACAGGAAGAUGAGGAGUUGGCCUUGCAAAUCCUUAAAGCAGCUUGUAUGAUGCAUAAGGGAUAAAGAAAGCAGCAGGGUCCUUAAGAGGAGAUCAGCAAAUACUAUACCCUUUGCAGAAGAAAAAUGGGGCUUGCGAUCUGUCACUGAUGCCCUCUAAGGAGGGGCAGGUGUUUAGAAAAGGAGAGUGGGGAGAAGGCAUGAAGAGUUUCCCUACCACAAGUCAUUCAGCAGAAGCCAGAUGGAAUAGCAGUCCUUUCACCUGAAGACCCCAAGUUUUGCACUAUGCCAGUGUAAAGCUACCAAAGAAGCAUGCACUGCAAACUGGGGGAAGGUGGUUGGGAGGAAUAGAUGGUACAUGAUGUUAUCUUUCUUGUUGGCUGCAUAUCUCUAAGGAAGGUCAUGACUUCUUUAGGCCUGCUUUUGUAGUCCCAGAGUUGAUACACCUCUUCAGCUCUCCCAGCAGUACCAACUUACUGUCUCCAUAAAUGUCAGAACUGUGUUUCCAGUGAAGGCUGGUACACCUGUUGUAGAAGAGCAAUCCUAUGAUUUGAGCAGUUGAUUUUUAUGUAUGCUUAUAAUACGUAGCAAAAACUAAAUACAUUACUCCAUUAAAAAUA
This is a non-coding RNA of Struthio camelus australis, 1153 nucleotides long. Lineage: Eukaryota; Metazoa; Chordata; Aves; Struthioniformes; Struthionidae. The record is from RefSeq and is a predicted model, not a curated record.